AUACGGAAGGUCCAGGCGUUAUCCGGAUUUAUUGGGUUUAAAGGGAGCGUAGGCCGUCUGUUAAGCGUGUUGUGAAAUGUAGAUGCUCAACAUCUGAAUUGCAGCGCGAACUGGCAGACUUGAGUGUGCGCAACGUAGGCGGAAUUCGUGGUGUAGCGGUGAAAUGCUCAGAUAUCAUGAAGAACUCCGAUCGCGAAGGCAGAUGCCCGGAGCGCAACUGACGCUGAGGCUCGAAAGUGCGGGUAUC
Molecule: ribosomal RNA, 247 nt
Filed under: uncultured bacterium
Lineage: Bacteria
Description: partial 16S ribosomal RNA
Rfam family: Bacterial small subunit ribosomal RNA
Source: RNAcentral